RNAcentral lists this ribosomal RNA (881 nucleotides) under Cortinarius venetus. RNAcentral's name for it is "eukaryotic LSU rRNA". It matches the Rfam family "Eukaryotic large subunit ribosomal RNA", at positions 72 to 938 of the family's 3401-position model. The record is from RNAcentral. Lineage: Eukaryota; Fungi; Basidiomycota; Agaricomycetes; Agaricales; Cortinariaceae.
GGAUUCCCCUAGUAACUGCGAGUGAAGCGGGAAAAGCUCAAAUUUAAAAUCUGGCAGUCAUUUGGCUGUCCGAGUUGUAAUCUAGAGAAGUGCUAUCCGCGCUGGACCGUGUACAAGUCUCCUGGAAUGGAGCGUCAUAGAGGGUGAGAAUCCCGUCUUUGACACGGACUACCAGGGCUUUGUGAUGUGCUCUCAAAGAGUCGAGUUGUUUGGGAAUGCAGCUCAAAAUGGGUGGUAAAUUCCAUCUAAAGCUAAAUAUUGGCGAGAGACCGAUAGCGAACAAGUACCGUGAGGGAAAGAUGAAAAGAACUUUGGAAAGAGAGUUAAACAGUACGUGAAAUUGCUGAAAGGGAAACGCUUGAAGUCAGUCGCGUUGUCCAGGGAUCAACCUUGCUUUUGCUUGGUGCACUUUCUGGUUAACGGGUCAGCAUCAAUUUUGACUGUUGGAAAAAGAUCUAGGGAAUGUGGCAUCUUUGGAUGUGUUAUAGCCCUUGGUUGCAUACAAUGGUUGGGAUUGAGGAACUCAGCACGCCGCAAGGCCGGGUUUUUAACCACGUACGUGCUUAGGAUGCUGGCAUAAUGGCUUUAAUCGACCCGUCUUGAAACACGGACCAAGGAGUCUAACAUGCCUGCGAGUGUUUGGGUGGAAAACUCGAGCGCGUAAUGAAAGUGAAAGUUGAGAUCCCUGUCGUGGGGAGCAUCGACGCCCAGACCAGACCUUUUGUGACGGAUCUGCGGUAGAGCAUGUAUGUUGGGACCCGAAAGAUGGUGAACUAUGCCUGAAUAGGGUGAAGCCAGAGGAAACUCUGGUGGAGGCUCGUAGCGAUUCUGACGUGCAAAUCGAUCGUCAAAUUUGGGUAUAGGGGCGAAAGACUAAUCGA